Cuculus canorus (common cuckoo) is the source of this 132-nucleotide small nucleolar RNA. RefSeq annotates it as small nucleolar RNA SNORD22. Lineage: Eukaryota; Metazoa; Chordata; Aves; Cuculiformes; Cuculidae. The record is from RefSeq and is a predicted model, not a curated record. The transcript has a single exon.
CCCCCAUGAGGAAAACCCCACGCGUCCGACCCCCCCCGUGCUGGCGCCAGCGCCUGCGAAAGGCUGAACCCACUGGUGACGGCGGGAGGAAAGGGGGAAACCGCGUCUGCAGGAGGGGACGGUCUGAGGGGG